Mastomys coucha (southern multimammate mouse) is the source of this 132-nucleotide small nucleolar RNA. RefSeq annotates it as small nucleolar RNA SNORA17. The record is from RefSeq and is a predicted model, not a curated record. The transcript has a single exon. Lineage: Eukaryota; Metazoa; Chordata; Mammalia; Rodentia; Muridae.
CCUGCUCUUAGAGGUGUUGCAGGUGUGACUGCUGUGUCACAUGUGUGUCAGUAGGUGGCAGAAAGGAGAGACACUAUGUUUCUGCUCAGUGUUCUGACCUAUGAACAUCUAAAUGAUUAGUGGCCUAACAAU